RNAcentral lists this ribosomal RNA (254 nucleotides) under uncultured bacterium. RNAcentral's name for it is "partial 16S ribosomal RNA". It matches the Rfam family "Bacterial small subunit ribosomal RNA", at positions 15 to 263 of the family's 1533-position model. The record is from RNAcentral.
GAUCCUGGCUCAGGACGAACGCUGGCGGCGCGCCUAACACAUGCAAGUCGAACGGAGCUUAGAGAGCUUGCUUUUUUAAGCUUAGUUGCGAACGGGUGAGUAACGCGUGAGUAACCUGCCCUAGAGUGGGGGACAACAGUUGGAAACGACUGCUAAUACCGCAUAAGCUCACGGUACCGCAUGGUACUGAGGGAAAAGGAUUUAUUCGCUUUAGGAUGGACUCGCGUCCAAUUAGCUAGUUGGUGAGGUAACGG